UACCAUGCAAGUCGAACGGUAACAGGAAACAGCUUGCUGUUUCGCUGACGAGUGGCGGACGGGUGAGUAAUGUCUGGGAAACUGCCUGAUGGAGGGGGAUAACUACUGGAAACGGUAGCUAAUACCGCAUAACGUCGCAAGACCAAAGAGGGGGACCUUCGGGCCUCUUGCCAUCGGAUGUGCCCAGAUGGGAUUAGCUAGUAGGUGGGGUAACGGCUCACCUAGGCGACGAUCCCUAGCUGGUCUGAGAGGAUGACCAGCCACACUGGAACUGAGACACGGUCCAGACUCCUACGGGAGGCAGCAGUGGGGAAUAUUGCACAAUGGGCGCAAGCCUGAUGCAGCCAUGCCGCGUGUAUGAAGAAGGCCUUCGGGUUGUAAAGUACUUUCAGCGGGGAGGAAGGGAGUAAAGUUAAUACCUUUGCUCAUUGACGUUACCCGCAGAAGAAGCACCGGCUAACUCCGUGCCAGCAGCCGCGGUAAU
RNAcentral lists this ribosomal RNA (484 nucleotides) under uncultured bacterium. RNAcentral describes it as "bacterial SSU rRNA". It matches the Rfam family "Bacterial small subunit ribosomal RNA", at positions 52 to 524 of the family's 1533-position model. The record is from RNAcentral.